UUUGGAAUAUUGCACAAUGGGGGAAACCCUGAUGCAGCGACGCCGCGUGGAGGAUGAAGGAUCUAGGUCUGUAAACUCCUUUUAUCGGGAAAGACUUAGGACGGUACCCGAUGAAUAAGCACCGGCUAACUACGUGCCAGCAGCCGCGGUAAGACGUAGGGUGCGAGCGUUGUCCGGAUUUACUGGGCGUAAAGGACGCGUAGGCGGCCCGUUAAGUGUGAAGUGAAAUCUCCAGAGCUCAACUCGGAAACUGCUUCGCAUACUGGCAGGCUAGAGGAAUGCAGAGGUAGCUAGAAUUCCUGGUGUAGCGGUGAAAUGCGUUGAUAUCAGGAGGAAUACCCAUGGCGAAGGCAGGCUACUGAGCAUUAUCUGACGCUGAGGCGUGAAAGCGUGGGUAGCAAACG
This 404-nucleotide ribosomal RNA is filed under the name uncultured bacterium. RNAcentral's name for it is "bacterial SSU rRNA". It matches the Rfam family "Bacterial small subunit ribosomal RNA", at positions 355 to 774 of the family's 1533-position model. The record is from RNAcentral.